Molecule: ribosomal RNA, 497 nt
Filed under: uncultured bacterium
Lineage: Bacteria
Description: partial 16S ribosomal RNA
Rfam family: Bacterial small subunit ribosomal RNA
Source: RNAcentral
GACGAACGCUGGCGGCGUGCCUAAUACAUGCAAGUAGAACGCUGAAACUUGGUGCUUGCACCGAGCGGAUGAGUUGCGAACGGGUGAGUAACGCGUAGGUAACCUGCCUGGUAGCGGGGGAUAACUAUUGGAAACGAUAGCUAAUACCGCAUAAGAGUAGAUGUUGCAUGACAUUUGCUUAAAAGGUACAUUUGCACCACUACCAGGUGGACCUGCGUUGUAUUAGCUAGUUGGUGGGGUAACGGCUCACCAAGGCGACGAUACAUAGCCGACCUGAGAGGGUGAUCGGCCACACUGGGACUGGGACACGGCCCAGACUCCUACGGGAGGCAGCAGGAGGGGAUCUUCGGCAAUGGACGGAAGUCUGACCGAGCAACGCCGCGUGAGUGAAGAAGGGUUUCGGAUCGGAAAGCUCUGUUGUAAGGGAAGAACGAGUGUGAGAGUGGAAAGUUCACACUGUGACGGUAUCUUACCAGAAAGGGACGGCUAACUACGUG